CCAGAAUUCAGUGGUCGUAUAAAGCUGGGAGAGAGAUGUAUGGUGAGUCUCUUGUUACCCAGAAUGCUCUGCUUACUUAGGCACUAAAUGCAGCAGUUCCUUAAAAAAAAAAAAAAGGAAAAAGAUAUUGAGGCUAAAAGCAGGACCAGAGCAAGACAUUUGCUGUCUUAGGAAAAGAACAAGAUUGUGCCAUCUCCCAGUUCCACAUGCAGAAGUCAACACUUUUCAUUGCAAUAUUAAAUCGCUGCUGUUCUCUCACCAAAGAGUACUUUCCUCAAACUUGGGGCUUGACUUCCAGGAUUCCAACAACUAGUCUGGGGCUGCCACCACAUGUUACUUUCAUCCUCCUUAGUAUGUUACCCUUGUAGAAAUCCAUAGGAAUGAGGAUGGGGACAAAGUUAGUUAGCUCAACCUGUGGCUCCAUCUAUAACUGGCUUUGCCUUCACCUACCACUGACUUCCCAGCCUUCUUCCCCACCAGUCCCACAGGGCACCAGAUAUUCUUGCUCUCCAUAUUUACCUCAUUGGCUCUUGGAUAGCCUGCAGCCAAGACCAGCAGUAAGAGAAGAGGUGAAACAUACUCCAGCAAACCACAGAGAUGAACAGGGGCAGGGUGAGUCUCUGGCUUUCCCCCGCCGUCCUUGAAGAAAAAUAGCAAAGCAACAAUCCUGUUGUAAAAUUUUCUUCCCUUAAAAAAAUGGGGGGGGGGAUGCUUUACUGGUGGCUAUGUGCAUACUUCAGUAUAGGGCAGGUUGAUGGCUUAAAAUAAAUAAAUAGCAGACUUUAGAUUUUAACUAAGACCCCAGGAUCUAUCAAUGGAACCCAGUACAAAAUACAUGCUUAAAAUCAAAGAUUUUGGACUCCACAAUUUUGUUUUGAAUAGCAGAACUGAAUGGUGCUCUCUCAGUCCUUACACACACAUGAGAACAUAAGAACACGCCUGCUAGAUCACGCUAGUGCCCCAUCUAGUCCACCACAGUCAGAUGCCUGUGGCAGACAUGCAAGCAGGGCAUCAGUCACCUGAGCACAGCAGCAGUCUCCCCUCAUGAAGUUUCCAGCAAUUGCUAUUCAGAAGAAUUACUGCCUCCAGUUGUGGAGGCAGAUCAUAGCCAUGAAGGUGAGCACUCAUUGAUAGCCCAUUUCUCUGUCAAAUCCUCUUUUAAAGCCAUCAGACUUGGUGGCCAUCGCUGCCUCUCAUGGGGGUGAGUUCUGUAGUUUAACUGUGAGCCAGGUGAAGUAGGACUUUUAUUUUGUCUGCCCUGAAUCUUUCAACAUUCAUCUUCAUUGGAAACCCGUGAGCUCUAGCGUUAAAAGGGAACAGCUUUUCUCUGUCCACCUCCUUCAUGCCAUGCAUAAUUCUUUAUAUACUUGUAUCAUGUUGCCUCUUACUCAGCUCUUCUCUAAGCUACCCCAUCCCCAAGUGCAGUGAGUAUACCUGUAUAUUAUACAGCUGUAAUCUAUCCUGGGACCUUACAGUGAAGUGCAGAUUUUUAUUUAUUAAAAAAAACACACCUUAUAAAUAAAUAUAUCCUUUCCUCAAAUCUCUCUUUCAAAAGCUCUUUACAUGGACUUUGAUCCAGGAUUUGGCUCUGUAAGAGAUUGAUGGUCCCUUGCUUCGCACACUGCAUCUCCCCUUUCCUCUUGAAGAUCAUCUCCCAACAGUCAAUUAGGCCUAACCUAACAGAAAGCCAUGGCCAGGAAUAUAUUUCAGAUAUGUGUGGCUAGCAAACCAAGGCAGGCUGAAGAAUUCCUAUUAGGUCAGGAGGGUGAAAUUAAAACAGAAACUCUCACCUGUUUCUUGCUUUCAUGUGUUGCUCUUCCCUGUUGAUGGCUCCGCUGCAUCCAGCUAAACUUAAUCUGGAUUUAAUGUAUUCACCAUCCCUUGUUUCUUUAAUCCCAAGGACAUCCAAGGGAGGAAAAACGGCAAAUCCAAAGGACUGUCAGUUUGAAGGCCUUGCUUCUUUAUCCAGAAAUGACAAGAUGUGUAUGAGAAGAUGCCUAUGAUUUCCUGCGCGGGCUAUGCCAUGAGUGUCUGAGGAAAGGAGCAAUCAGAUUUGUCACUUCUUUUAAAUGGCUUGAGAAAAUGGAACAUACCAAUUGGGCAGUUCAGCAAAUCUCUUGUAAUGGAUCACAUCACGGUUCAGUCAGUCAUGUGUUGGUUUAAUCCUGGGAUUGACCUCUCUGCACCUGCAGGAAAGCACAGACAUUCGUUCUACAGUCAUUCUGAAACUUCCUUGUUUGCAGACAACAGUCAGUCAGUGUACUGGAUAGAUCAGAGAUGGGGAACUUGUUGUCCUGCAUAAUUUGUUGGACUACAAUUCCCAUUACUCCUGAUAAUUGUCCAUGCUGGCUGGAGGUGAUGGGAGUAGGAGUCCAGCAACAUCUAGAGAGCUGCAAGUUUUGUAUUCUUGGGAGAGAGAGUCUUGGACAAGUGGGCAAGGGCAGCAGGAGAGCCACUGUGAAGCAAUUUAAAAAGCAGAGACAAUACAUUGAAAAGCUUCCGUGUACAUAAGACCAAUUCAUAAAGCAGCAUUGAUGACAAUACAAAC
Podarcis lilfordi (Lilford's wall lizard) is the source of this 2548-nucleotide non-coding RNA. The record is from the annotation of a GenBank genome assembly. NCBI's taxonomy places the organism in Eukaryota, Metazoa, Chordata, Lepidosauria, Squamata, Lacertidae.